This 1798-nucleotide ribosomal RNA is filed under the name Newzealandia sp. RNAcentral describes it as "SSU rRNA". It matches the Rfam family "Eukaryotic small subunit ribosomal RNA". The record is from RNAcentral. Lineage: Eukaryota; Metazoa; Platyhelminthes; Tricladida; Geoplanidae.
ACCUGGUUGAUCCUGCCAGUAGUCANAUGCUUAUCUCAAAGAUUAAGCCAUGCAUGUCUAAGUACACAGACUCGUACUCUAAAACCGCGGAUGGCUCAUUAUAACAGCUAUGAUUUGAGAGAAAUGAACUUUAUUGCCACAAGAUAACUGUGGUAAUUCUAGAGCUAAUAUUUACAAUGUNGCCGUGACUCACGAAGCGGCGGAUUUAUUAGUUUCAAAAUCAACCUGCUGUAACAGGCGGUAAUUUGAUGACUCUGGAUAACUUUACUGAUCGUACAACCUCGUGUUGACGACGAAUCUCUUGAAAUGGCUGACCUAUCANCUUUCGAUGGUAAGAUCAAAGCUUACCAUGGUUGUAACGGUAACGGGGAAUCAGCUGUUCGAUUCCGGAGAGGGAGCCUGAGAAACGGCUACCACAUCCACGGAAAGNCAGCAGGCGCGUAAAUNACCCAAUACCGGCUCGGUGAGGUAGUGACAAAAAAUAACAAUAUGGUCCCUANUGGAUUCAUAAUNGCAAUGAGAAAAUUUUAAAUACUUUAUCAAGUAUCAAUUGGAGGGCAAGUCUGGUNCCAGCAGCCGCGGUAAUUCCAGCUCCAAAAGCGUAUAUUANAGUUGUUGCAGUUAAAAAGCUCGUAGUUGAAAUUCGGGAANAACAUGGUUAUUCGAUCUCUGAUUGAUGACUGUGUUGUCCUUCAUCGUCGUGUAUAUGUUAUUGGUACUUCACUGUAUCGGUUUCGUAACCGACAAGUUUACUUUGAAAAAAUUAGAGUGCUUAAAGCAGGCUUAUGCUUGUAUAUUGUUGCAUGGAAUAAUGAAAUAGGACUUCGGUUUUAUUUUGUUGGUUUUCUUAACUGAAGUAAUGAUUAAAAGAGACUGCCGGGGGCAUAUGUAUGCUGGUGUUAGAGGUGAAAUUCUUAGAUCAUCAGCAGACAAACUACUGCGAAAGCAUUUGCCAAGAAUGUUUUCAUUAAUCAAGAACGAAAGUCAGAGGAUCGAAGACGAUCAGAUACCGUCCUAGUUCUGACCAUAAACUAUGCCAACUGACAGUUAGUUAAGGUGAUUCAAUAUCCUUGCUAGAAGUCACCGGGAAACCAAAGUCUAUGGGUUCCGGGGGAAGUAUGGUUGCAAAGCUGAAACUUAAAGGAAUUGACGGAAGGGCACCACCAGGAGUGGAGCCUGCGGCUUAAUUUGACUCAACACGGGAAAUCUCACCCGGUCCGGACACUGUGAGGAUUGACAGAUUGAUAGCUCUUUCAUGAUUUGGUGGGUGGUGGUGCAUGGCCGUUCUUAGUUGGUGGAGCGAUUUGUCUGGUUAAUUCCGAUAACGAACGAGACUCUGACCUGCUAACUAGUACAUUUGUGUUUAAAUCGCAAGUGCUGACUUCUUAGAGGAAUAAAUAGCGUUUAGCUANAAUGAAAUUGAGCAAUAACAGGUCUGUGAUGCCNUUAGAUGUCCGGGGCCGCACGCGCGCUACAAUGGCAGUAACAGCGAGUUUUAUUCCUAGUUAGAAAUGACCGGGUAACCUGCUGAAACNCUGUCGUAUCGGGAAUAGUGGUUUGAAAUUUUCCCACUUAAACGNGGAAUUCCNAGUAAGCGCAAGUCAUUAACUUGCGCUGANUACGUCCCUGCCCUUUGUACACACCGCCCGUCGCUACUACCGAUUGAAUGGUUUAGUGAGAUUGUUGGAUUCUGAGCUAAGAAAUGGCAACGUUUCUAUGAAUGGGAAAAGACACUCAAACUUGAUCAUUUAGAGGAAGUAAAAGUCGUAACANGGUUUCCCUAGGUGAACCUGCGNAA